This is an RNA transcript of Vicia villosa (hairy vetch), 4671 nucleotides long. RefSeq lists it as uncharacterized. The transcript has 3 exons. The record is from RefSeq and is a predicted model, not a curated record. Lineage: Eukaryota; Viridiplantae; Streptophyta; Magnoliopsida; Fabales; Fabaceae.
UCAUAUUCCUCUUAAUAAAUGUUCAUAAAUUUCUCUAUUUUUAGGCCCAAAAAUGAACAAUCAAAUCCAUCCACGUCCUUUUCCCCAAAUCCAAAACCCAUCUUCCCAUGGCAACAUCACCGACAAACCCAGAACAACACGAACCGGCGCGACUCAAAUCUCUCGCUCAAACAAACUCCAAAACCGCUCUUAAAUACCCCAAACCACAGUUACAAGAAACCUCAGAGUUAGUUAACUCUCUCAACAUUCUAACUGCUCCCGAUUUCUACGCCGUUCUCGACGUCGAACCCACCGCCGAUUCCAACACUAUUCGCAAACAGUAUAACAAACUCUCUUCUCUUUUUCAUCCGGACAAUAACCGCCGCCACGUGGCAUCGUGUAAAGAAGCUUUUAAGCUUGUUAACGACGCGUUUGGUGUUCUCUCUGAUAAAGCUCUCAGAGAAAGCUACGACGGGAAGGUUGAUCUUGAGAUUAGAGAGAAGAUGAGGACUUUUUGGACUGCGUGUUCUACUUGUAGGGUUUUGCAUCAGUUUGAGAGAAGGUAUUUGGGUCAUAAGCUUGUGUGUCCUGGUUGUAAUAAGAGUUUUAAGGCUGUUGAAGCUGUUGAGAAUGAUGGGUCUGAGGAGGAUGAAGAGGAUAACACUUUGGGGGAGUUUAUGUUGAAGAAUAAGAAGAGGAAGAAGAAUGGGAAAAUGGGUUGUGAAAAAGGUGAGAGCUUUAAGGGUAAUGGGAAAAUGGGUUGUGAAAAAGGUGAGAGCUUUAUGGGUGAUGGUGAAGUGAGUGGUGAAAAAGGUGUGAGCUUUAAGGGUGAUGGUGAAGUGGGUGUUGUUGGGAGAAUGGGAAUGAGAACGAGGAAGAGAACGCGAUUGGUUGGGGAGGUUUUGGAGAGUUCUGAAUCCAAGAAGGUUGAUGUGAGUGAAGAGGAAACAAUGACAUUGGCUGAUUUUCAAUCGAAAGUGAAGACUAAGAUUAAGGUUGAGAAAGAGAAAAUGAAGGGAUUGGAAAUUGGAAAGGGUUUUGAAGUCAAGGAGAAGAAGGAUGAGAGUUCUGUGAAGAGAAAUGAGUUGAGACUUGAGAAGCAUAAGGAUUUUAGUGGAGAGGAAUUACAAGCUAUGGCGGUUGCGGAUUCGGAUUUUUAUGAUUUUGAUAAAGAUAGAGUGGUGAGGAGUUUUAAGAAAGGUCAAGUUUGGGCUGUGUAUGAUGGUGAUGAUGAUGGAAUGCCGAGGCAGUAUGCUUUGAUUGAUGAAACUGUUUCUGCGAAUCCUUUCCAAGUGAGGAUAAGUUGGUUGGAUUUACAGAACAACGGGGAUGAAAAGAUUGUUAGCAGGGAGAAAUUAGGGUUUCAUGUACCUUGUGGGAGGUUUAAAAUUGCUAAUAAGACUACAAUUAGUUCUGUAAAUGUUUUUUCUCAUGUUGUGGACUGUGAUCGAGCAGCGCGCGAGAUUUACAAGAUUUAUCCUAAGAAGGGUUCGGUUUGGGCGCUUUAUAGUGAGGCGAGUCUUGAUGGAGGUGAGGGCAAAAGAUGCUAUGAUAUUGUUGUGUUUUUGACGAGUUAUAGUGAGAUGAAUGGUAUGAGCAUGGCAUUUCUUGAGAAGGUUGAUGGUUACAAGACAGUGUUUAAAAGACAUGAGAGUGGAAGCUAUGCUGUUAGAUUUCUAGGUAAGGAUGAAUUUUGGUUACUUUCUCAUCAGAUUCCUGCGCAGAAAUUACCCUGCGACGAAGCUCCUGAAUUGUUGAAAGAUUGUUGGGAGCUUGAUCCGGCUUCACUUCCUUCGGAUUUACUGACUAUUGGUGGAAUAGAUAAUUGAGCCUGGAUGUGCCUUCUCCACUGCAAUUCCAGUGCUUAGGAUUGGUAUGAAUAAGGGUUAACACACUGUCUUCUUCCGAGUCACACCUAACAGGACCAACUUCUUUAUAACCAUUUUACAGUGACAUUUGCUUGCAAAGACUGGAUUGUGGUAAGUUGAGUUAUAAUCUACUAUGUGUUGCUUUGUCAAUUAUGUAAAUAAAUAAUUAUGUUUCAGCUCAAGUAGAUGUAUUUGCAUGUUUUCUUCGGUCAUUAGAGUUUGUGGAACAGUGAGAACGUCGAAGGCGGCGACAAGGUUGACCACGAUGGUCAUUGUGGUGGUGCUGAUAAAUAAAAGGAUGGUGGGGGUGACAUAAGAGUACAACGACAACAAUCCUGAUGCAUUCUAAUCUAUAAAGUGCCGAUGCAAUUUAGACAUACAAAAGAAAUAAAGGAUGCCAUAACUCAACCUUCUACUAGAGGCGACCUAUUAAUGUUGUUAUGUUGGGUAGACAUGUUUGAGAAUCUUGACAAGUUACGGGUUCAGUUAUUAUUAGCUAGAUAUAAUUAUGUAGCAUGCAUCCUAGAGGCGAAUAAUCACCAAGGAGCAUCAUAUACAUGUCGUUAUGUUGCUAAAGCAAUUAAGGCUCUCAAGUCGAGUUUUAUCGCCAGAGUAGGGAGAGGAGACAUUUUCAUUUGGUAUGAUAAAUGACUUCCAAAUGGUAGAAUUUGUGACAAAUUUUUUUCAGUGAGUGAGUAGGAUAGACACCUAUAUAUCAUGAAUGUCUGAAGUUAUGGUAUUUGGAAUUUUGACAUCAUCUCCACCAAUCUUUCUUAGGACAUAAGAAUUGAGAUGACUGUUGUCUUUACUAAUGACGACUUAAAUGAUAUUCUUAUUUGGGAACCUUCAAUAUCAAGUACUGAUUCUACCAAAUAAGUUUAUUCUUGGUUAAAUUUGGAGUCCAAUCCACAUCAUAUUCAAAUAAUGACUUGGUCUUGGAUUUGGAACCUUAAGUUACCAGAAAUAUUCGUCAUUUUGUUUGGAUGCAUGAGAAGUUUACCUACCAAUUAUACAUGAGUCACUAAUCACAUGUCAACAAAUGUCUUUUAUUAUAGAGGUGGUGCAACUAACAAAACUAUCUUACACACUUUUAGAGAUUGCUUUAAGACCAUGCAAGUUUGGAACAAUUACAAUUUUCCAUCUUACAUUCAUUUUUAUGAGGAUGAUAUUUAUAAUUGGAUGAAAAUUAAUGCGUUCAUCAAUCAUGGCCCUUUCUUUCUCAUUUGUUGUUGGAUGAUUUGGAAAUUUCGUAACGAAGAAUUCUUCAUAGACAACAAUCGUCAGUUCUAGAAUAUCCUUAGCCAAAUAACUUCUCUUUUACACUCUACCAAACAUGCUUUUGGUGGUUCUAAUAAGAUAUCAUUCCUUAAACUUGUGUCUUGGCACCCUCCUUCAAAGAAUGUGAUAAAGGUCAAUAUAGGUGGUAGUUCCAUUGGUAAUUCAGGGCCAUAUGAUUUUGUUGGUCUUUUGAAAAACUCUUCUGGAGGUUGGAUCACAUGUUUUGCAGGAAUUUGUGGCUUCACCUCUAAUAUUAAUGUCGAGCUUCAAGUCAUUUAUCUUGGUCUUGAUAUUGCUUGAAAUUAUGGUUUCAGAAAUGUGAUUUGCGAGUUUGACUCUUAAACAACUCUGAAGUUUAUUCAAGAGGAUGUGCCUUCUAAUUAUUCUUAUGCGCCUCUGGUGGAUUAUGUACAAUCUCUUAUUCAUGAAAGGUGACAACUUGUCCUUAUUCACACCUUACGCGAAGGGAAUGUUAGUGUUGACCAUAGGCAUCUUUAGGUCUUUCGGCACUAUGAUUUGACCAUAGGCAACUAAAAGAUAAAAAAUUUCAUCACAUUUGGUUACAUCGAAAGUAUAAGUUUUUGUAAUAAACUUUUCAUUUAUACUUGGUUCAACAAGGUUUUUCCCAAUCGAAGAGCUUACAAACAUACAGAAGUCAUGACUUCAAUUCCACCAGAUUAAUCUCAUUUUCUUCGAUGUAUUAAAAAACUACGUUGAGUUCUUGAUUAUUAUCAUUUGCCUCUAUAUCAUAAAUAUUUUCUUUCUAUGGGGUUUGAUUUAUUCUAGCCUUUUCUAAUCAAGCCUUUCGUCCUCCGGGUGUUCGACUUGUCUAACCCUAUAUGUUAACUGGGCCAUAUCCUUUCGGCACUAGGUAUCUAACUUCUUCCUAGUGGAAUAACCUAUGUGAUCAGUGGUUUUUACACAUUAAUUUACCGUUGUUUUAAGUUGUCUUUGAUUUAUUUCAUUUAGUGUUUUAUUGCAUUAUUCGUCAUUUUAUGCUUUGGUUUUGUGUUUAAGUGUUUGUAUGCUCAGAUGAAUGAUUUGGGAGAAAUCAGGGCGAAAAAGUGCAAAACUGAAGAAAAGUGCAUAAACUGGCAAAACGCGUUCCCAAACGCAUGUGGAAGAAGAAAAAUGCAAUCAGCUGCCAAAACGCGUCCCUAGAUGCGUUUAGAAGUGAAAAGUGCCAUCUGCUGCUGAGACGCGUCCCUGACUGUGCAUGCAUGCCAGACGUGUCCCUCAGCUCAGACGCGUCCUAAAAGUAAAGAAAAAUAAAGGAAAAAUGCCUGUCUGCCCAGACGCGUCCCAUUGGCCUAAAUGCGUCCCCACACGCGUGUGCACGUGAUGCCAGGAGCGCUGAAAUAAAAGAAGAAAAAUACGUUGGGACAAGGGUUGGACAAUUUUGGAGAGCAAAAACACAGUAGAAGGCUGGAGAACUCAUAAUUUAUGUAGGGAGUGAAGAUUUCCAUGAGCUUUUGCCAUUGAAGAUCUAAGUUCAUUCAUUUAUCUGUAAUGUCUACAAUUCAAACUAUGGUUUCUGUUAAUUUUA